Molecule: ribosomal RNA, 253 nt
Filed under: uncultured bacterium
Lineage: Bacteria
Description: partial 16S ribosomal RNA
Rfam family: Bacterial small subunit ribosomal RNA
Source: RNAcentral
UACGUAGGGUGCGAGCGUUAAUCGGAAUUACUGGGCGUAAAGGGCUCGUAGGUGGCCAACUAAGUCAGACGUGAAAUCCCUCGGCUUAACCGGGGAACUGCGUCUGAUACUGGAUGGCUUGAGUUUGGGAGAGGGAUGCGGAAUUCCAGGUGUAGCGGUGAAAUUCGUAGAUAUUCGCAGGAACACCAGUGGCGAAGGCGGCUCACUGGUCCGAUACUGACGCUGAGGUGCGAAAGCGUGGGGAGCAAACAGG